This 253-nucleotide ribosomal RNA is filed under the name uncultured bacterium. RNAcentral's name for it is "partial 16S ribosomal RNA". It matches the Rfam family "Bacterial small subunit ribosomal RNA", at positions 524 to 776 of the family's 1533-position model. The record is from RNAcentral.
UACAGAGGUCCCAAGCGUUGUUCGGAUUUACUGGGCGUAAAGGGUGCGUAGGCGGCUUUGAAAGUCUGGUGUGAAAGCUCAGAGCUUAACUCUGAAACCGCAUUGGAAACUUCAAGACUAGAGGAAUGGAGGGGGGGCUGGAAUUCUCGGUGUAGCAGUGAAAUGCGUAGAUAUCGAGAGGAACACCAGUGGCGAAGGCGAGCCCCUAGACAUAUCCUGACGCUGAGGCACGAAAGCCAAGGGAGCAAACGGG